Small nucleolar RNA from Ornithorhynchus anatinus (platypus), 137 nucleotides. Lineage: Eukaryota; Metazoa; Chordata; Mammalia; Monotremata; Ornithorhynchidae. The record is from RefSeq and is a predicted model, not a curated record.
ACCCUCUCAGGAUUGCACCUGGAGAAUUUCCAGUACUCUACCAGUUUCGGCUACGGGAGGGAGUCGAGCAGAGACAUAUCCAUUCCAUUCCUAGCUUGGCCCAAUGACUAGAGAGUGGAAGGCAAUCUGCUACAAGU